Bactrocera oleae (olive fruit fly) is the source of this 1340-nucleotide non-coding RNA. The record is from RefSeq and is a predicted model, not a curated record. NCBI's taxonomy places the organism in Eukaryota, Metazoa, Arthropoda, Insecta, Diptera, Tephritidae.
GGACCGGUUAUAGGCAUCCAUAUACACUGGAUCGUGUGCGUCACUUAGUAGUUCACCUGAAAAAUAACCAAUGCAAUUUUUUUUAUUUUUAAUCAAAAUAAUAUUUAAACAGUUACUCUCAUCCACCAACAGGAGGAGUAAGUUUCCAUUCCCACGACAAGCGAUUUAACGUAACCAAAACGGACACCGAUUAUUAUCCGACCAAAGACCGCCAAAUCGACAGAUUGCUCAAAAUAUAGGGAAUGGUUUCUGCCGCUAUAACAGCAGUAUUAAGAUCCACUGUUUGUGGCAAAAUGUAAAUAAAGGUAAGGCGUUCGUAUAAAGUGUGAGUAAUUUAUGGUUUAUAGUAGGACAUCAGAAUUCAAUUACGAGUUCGGGAGUUCAUUAGCCGUUUCUAAUUGAAUUCGCUUAUUGAAUAAAAAGGUAAUCCAAAAAAAAAUUAUGUAUUCGUUUAAGAAAUGAUUAAAUGUGUUCCUUUUUUACCGCGGCUCUUCGCAUUAUGCAAGUUUUUUUAAUUGAAUUCAAAUGACGGAAGAGAAAUAUGUCCAUUUGUUGGUGCACUUUGGAGUAUUGUAUUAAAUGUACAAUAUUACAUAAAUUCACUAAACGAUUUAUAUUUUUUAAAAGCGAAACAAGAAAGGUUAAUGUUUCAACAUUCCUACAGUUUUAUAUAAACAAACGAAUACAUACAUAAGUAUGUAGAAUACGGCGACAUAGAAGACGAUGAUAUGCCAUUUUAUUUUCCAUUUCGGAUAUACAAAUGAUUUUUUGUUUAAUUACAAUUUCUAAAAGUUCAUAUUUUCUUUAAUUGUGUAAUUGUAAAAUGCUUACUGGCAACAUAAGUUUUUUCACCGAAUUUCUAUCUAACCGUUAUUACAGAUAUUUAAACAAUGCAAUACUUUUUUGUGUUUUUGACAGCUGUUAACUUGAUUUAUACUCAGCUUGGUUUGACAUUUCAUAGUGAACAGACAUAUUCCGUAUUAACGCAACAAUUGGAGCCGCCUAUAAUGUUGCAGUCCACGGGGAAAGCUAUAGAGCCAUUAUUAAUGACGUUUUCUUGCCUGAAUGGAGGAUGUUGAUGUGGAUGACCUUGAUUCCAACAAGAUGACGCUACAUGCCAUACAGCUAACAAAACAAUCAAUUUAUUGAAGAUAAACCCGAAACGAUUGACGCGUUAUUGCUGACGUACGACUCCAAUUGCCGCAAAAAGUGGUUAAAAAUUUUACCUCUCGGCUGAAAUUUAUACUUGCCAGCAGCAGCACAGUUAUCGCUUAGCCGAAAUCAUUUUUAAAACAUAAUUUCAAACCUAUAUCUUUAUAAUAAAGCUAUAUUCUUAGCAC